Molecule: ribosomal RNA, 452 nt
Filed under: uncultured soil bacterium
Lineage: Bacteria
Description: bacterial SSU rRNA
Rfam family: Bacterial small subunit ribosomal RNA
Source: RNAcentral
AGAGUGAACGCUGGCGGCAGGCCUAACACAUGCAAGUCGAACGGCAGCACAGAGGAGCUUGCUCCUUGGGUGGCGAGUGGCGGACGGGUGAGGAAUACGUCGGAAUCUGCCUAUUUGUGGGGGAUAACGUAGGGAAACUUACGCUAAUACCGCAUACGACCUACGGGUGAAAGCGGAGGACCUUCGGGCUUCGCGCAGAUAGAUGAGCCGACGUCGGAUUAGCUAGUUGGCGGGGUAGAGGCCCACCAAGGCGACGAUCCGUAGCUGGUCUGAGAGGAUGAUCAGCCACACUGGAACUGAGACACGGUCCAGACUCCUACGGGAGGCAGCAGUGGGGAAUAUUGGACAAUGGGCGCAAGCCUGAUCCAGCCAUGCCGCGUGUGUGAAGAAGGCCUUGGUUGUAAAGCUACUUUUGUACGGAAGUAAAGUCUUUACGGUAAUACCCGGAAGUU